AGCUCCGAUAGCGUAUAUUAAAGUUGUUGCAGUUAAAAAGCUCGUAGUUGAACUUCUGCUUUAAGGGAUCUGGCAAAUAUGUUCAGUUGUACUUUAGAGCAUCCCCUUUGAUGACGCGGCAUGCACUUGGUUGAGCAGUCGUUGAUUCUAGGAAUUUACUUUGAAAAAAUUAGAGUGUUUCAAGCAGGCGAUUAGCUGGAAUACAUUAGCAUGGAAUAAUAGAAUAUGACCUCUAUAUCAUUUUAUUGGUUUGUGUUUAGAGGUAAUGAUUAACAGGGACAGUUGGGGGCAUUAGUAUGGCUUUGUCAGAGGUGAAAUUCAUUGAUUAUCGCCAGACUAACUUAUGCGAAAGCAUUUGCCAAGGAUGUUUUCA
This 373-nucleotide ribosomal RNA is filed under the name uncultured eukaryote. RNAcentral's name for it is "SSU rRNA". It matches the Rfam family "Eukaryotic small subunit ribosomal RNA", at positions 587 to 972 of the family's 1831-position model. The record is from RNAcentral.